GGUAUGGGAUGAGCUUGCGUCCGAUUAGCUAGUUGGCGGGGCAACGGCCCACCAAGGCGACGAUCGGUAGCCGGCCUGAGAGGGUGAUCGGCCACAUUGGGACUGAGAUACGGCCCAGACUCCUACGGGAGGCAGCAGUAGGGAAUAUUGCACAAUGGGGGAAACCCUGAUGCAGCAACGCCACGUGUGGGAAGAAGCAUUUCGGUGUGUAAACCACUGUCAUGAGGGAAUAAGGCCUAUUUUCGGAUAGGAUUGAAUGUACCUUGAGAGGUAGCACCGGCAAACUUCGUGCCAGCAGCCGCGGUAAUACGAGGGGUGCAAGCGUUGUUCGGAAUUACUGGGCGUAAAGGGAGCGUAGGCGGAGAUUCAAGCGGAUUGUACAAUCCCGGGGCCCAACCCCGGCUCUGCAGUCCGAACUGGAUCUCUUGGAUAGUUCAGGGGCAGGC
This 446-nucleotide ribosomal RNA is filed under the name uncultured bacterium. RNAcentral's name for it is "bacterial SSU rRNA". It matches the Rfam family "Bacterial small subunit ribosomal RNA", at positions 217 to 662 of the family's 1533-position model. The record is from RNAcentral.